RNAcentral lists this ribosomal RNA (406 nucleotides) under uncultured bacterium. RNAcentral's name for it is "partial 16S ribosomal RNA". It matches the Rfam family "Bacterial small subunit ribosomal RNA", at positions 32 to 526 of the family's 1533-position model. The record is from RNAcentral.
AUUCAACGCUGGCGGCCGGCCUAACACACGCAAGUCGCGCGAGCGGCGGACGGGUGAGUAAUGUCUGGGAAACUGCCUGAUGGAGGGGGAUAACUACUGGAAACGGUAGCUAAUACCGAAUACACUCAGCUGUGCCCAGAGGGGAUGAGCUGGUGGGUGGGGUAAAGGCUUACCAAGGCGACGAUCCGUAACUGGUCUGAGAGGAUGAGCAGUCACUCUGGAACUGAGACACGGUCCAGUCUCCUACGGGAGGCAGCAGUGGGGAAUAUUGGACAAUGGGCGAAAGCCUGAUCCAGCCAUGCCGCGUUUGUGAAGAAGGUCUUCGGAUUGUAAAGCACUUUAAGUUGGGAGGCGUUACCAACAGAAUAAGCACCGGCUAACUUCGUGCCAGCAGCCGCGGUAAUUC